RNAcentral lists this long non-coding RNA (350 nucleotides) under Sus scrofa (pig). RNAcentral's name for it is "lncRNA (ENSSSCG00055027802.1)". The record is from RNAcentral. Lineage: Eukaryota; Metazoa; Chordata; Mammalia; Artiodactyla; Suidae.
GUGGCAGCCGCGCCGCUCCGGUCGCCGACGCUCCUCAGGGCCCCGCGGAGCCCCCUUGGCAGGACCACGCGGGCUGUGGUAUCCCCGGUGACCAAGGCCAUCUUCGUGGCUCUGUUCCUCUUGGCUGUGCUGCUCAUCCUCUACGUGAUCCUGUGGUACAUUUGCCGGGACGUGGACAACGACUACAUCUGAAGCAGUUUGCCGGGGUUGAUUUGGGAGCCGAAGCCUGCAGCCGACACUUCACUGCCACCUUGGCAACUCUAGGUAAGGCACUAAGUCUGUAAAUAAUUUUGGGUUUGUUUUUUCCUUUUUUGGCUGCCCUGCGCGUUUGGAGUUCCCAGGUCAGGGAU